GCCGCCGCCUCCCGGCUCGACUCGGUUCCUCCCCGUGUGGCUUUUACAACCGCGAUUACUCAGCCGGAUACGGGAGACUUUCCGCUGCGUUUUGCUUUCCUCCAAACCAGCCCCUGCAAACCCCCACGGGCUUGUCGCUUGGGGCCGGGUCCCUCUGCUGUUUGUUUUCUCGCAGACCCCUCCGGGCCUCACCGCGCAGCCAGGCUCCUAAUUGUGGUUCUGGCAUCAGAGCCGUUGCUAUGGGGACCUCAGCAAUUCGGCAUUUUGAUGACGGUUGAGUGGGGAAUGAAUGUGAAGCAGGGAGGAAGGUCCUCUCUCCCAUGGCUGCUGGGAGCAACAGAUGGGUUCAAGUUGAGGAAACCCCUAGAAUAGGGCUUGGUGCACAGUAAGAAUCACAGGUAUGUUUGCUGCAGUCACUGCUGACUGGGUCCCUACUUGUGCCUUUGCGGGAGCCACCCCUCCCUGGGAGCCUCCCUCCAGCAGGAAUCUGCACCGCACAGCAGGUGGGCUGGAGACUUUGAUUCUCCCAGCCCCCGGGGAGCCUGGAGCUCUGUACUUGCACCCCCAGCUGUGGGCAACUUCCUUUGUUUACCCUGAUGCACCAUUCCAAUGAUCUCAUUUCAUGGUGUUCAUGGAAAAACUUCACUGGUCCGUGGUGAGAUGAGAAGAACGAGGCCAAGCUGAAAACAUUUUUGGAGACUUUAAUAACUGUGGAAGGAUGCUGUAAGGUGGGCAGGGAAAUCGAUCAUUUUUAUUCGGUUGUGCACGAUAAAAUGGACACGGACUUCAAGAAUGCUUCAUGGACUCUUUCCCAGAUGCCGCUGCAGCCUGCCUUGGCCACAGCAUGGCAUUAGACACGGCCAGUGGCUCCGUGCUGGCUCCGGAACUCGGCUUUGGGUGCCAGAUGGGGACACUGACGCUUAACAGAGAUCAGGAACUUGCCUGUGGUUGCACACAAUAAUUGGAGGAGCCAGAAGCCCCCGGAAGUGGGUUCUCAGCACCACUGGAUACAUGAAGAUGGGAAACCCUCUGGGACGGUCCCAGGUUCUCGAAAUACUCUGCACCCGUUAGCUCGUGCCUUCCCCACAGAACUCCUUGCGAGGGAGUGACUUGCAUUCUCUUCAUCAUGCACAUGAGGAAAGUGAGACCGAGACCAGCACCGUGUCCAAGUUCUCACAUCGGCUUUUCCUUUAGACUGCUGAAUCCCACAAGAAUCUGAAUUACAACCUCCAUGUGACGAGGGUUAUUUAAAACCAGAAUGAAGCAUCCGUGCACGGUAAGAGGUACGGGAAAGCAUUCCAGGCUGACUGAGGGUGGAGGAGGAAAAAGGCGUGGUGUGUUCAAGGAACAGAAAGGCAACGGAUGUGGCUGGAGAGGAGCGAGGGAGCGUGGUUUGCGAUGAGCUGGACAGACAGCUCGCGUGCUGCUUUGUAAGGGCACUGUGAGGAGUUGGAAAUGUAUUCUAAGAGCAGUGGAAAUAAAAUACAUA
This is a long non-coding RNA of Choloepus didactylus (southern two-toed sloth), 1489 nucleotides long. RefSeq lists it as uncharacterized. NCBI's taxonomy places the organism in Eukaryota, Metazoa, Chordata, Mammalia, Pilosa, Megalonychidae. The record is from RefSeq and is a predicted model, not a curated record. The transcript is spliced from 8 exons.